GAGGGAAAGGCGAAAAGAACCCCGGCGAGGGGAGUGAAAAAGAACCUGAAACCGUGUACGUACAAGCAGUAGGAGCCCCAUCACUCAAGUGCCUCGCACUGAGUGAUGCAAGAACAUCACCGAAAAUAGCGCUGAAUUUGCUAACAAGGUUGGUCGAUUUUUUCAAGCCGUCGCGCAGUGUACCUAGAAGUACACGAGCAACGGAAGUUAAAAAAUCGGGCAAGAUUGAACGCAAAGGCAAGCGGGACAUUUGAGGAUGGGGUGACUGCGUACCUUUUGUAUAAUGGGUCAGCGACUUAUAUUCUGUAGCAAGGUUAACCGUAUAGGGGAGCC
This 333-nucleotide ribosomal RNA is filed under the name Proteus mirabilis. RNAcentral describes it as "partial 23S ribosomal RNA". It matches the Rfam family "Bacterial large subunit ribosomal RNA", at positions 505 to 667 of the family's 2925-position model. Lineage: Bacteria; Pseudomonadati; Pseudomonadota; Gammaproteobacteria; Enterobacterales; Morganellaceae. The record is from RNAcentral.